Molecule: ribosomal RNA, 374 nt
Filed under: uncultured organism
Description: partial 16S ribosomal RNA
Rfam family: Bacterial small subunit ribosomal RNA
Source: RNAcentral
GUAGGUGGCAAGCGUUGUCCGGAGUUAUUGGGCGUAAAGCGCGCGCAGGCGGUCCUUUAAGUCUGAUGUGAAAGCCCACGGCUCAACCGUGGAGGGUCAUUGGAAACUGGGGGACUUGAGUACAGAAGAGGAAAGCGGAAUUCCAAGUGUAGCGGUGAAAUGCGUAGAGAUUUGGAGGAACACCAGUGGCGAAGGCGGCUUUCUGGUCUGUAACUGACGCUGAGGCGCGAAAGCGUGGGGAGCAAACAGGGAUUAGAUACCCUGGUAGUCCACGCCGUAAACGAUGAGUGCUAAGUGUUAGGGGGUUUCCCGCCCCCUUAGUGCUGCAGCUAACGCAUUAAGCACUCCGCCUGGGGAGUACGGCCGCAAGGCUG